RNAcentral lists this ribosomal RNA (249 nucleotides) under uncultured bacterium. RNAcentral's name for it is "partial 16S ribosomal RNA". It matches the Rfam family "Bacterial small subunit ribosomal RNA", at positions 523 to 769 of the family's 1533-position model. The record is from RNAcentral.
AUACGGAAGGUUUGCAAGCGUUAAUCGGAAUCACUGGGCGUAAAGCGCUCGUAGGUGGCUUUGUAAGUCAGGUGUGAAAGCCCACGGCUCAACCGUGGAAUUGCACUUGAUACUGCAUUGCUUGAGUUCGGGAGAGGGUAGUGGAAUUCCAGGUGUAGGAGUGAAAUCCGUAGAGAUCUAGAGGAACACCAGUGGCGAAGGCGACUACCUGGACCGAUACUGACACUGAGGAGCGAAAGCGUGGGGAGC